This 538-nucleotide long non-coding RNA is filed under the name Vigna radiata. Its description in RNAcentral is "long non-coding RNA (VRAD_LNC011968)". The record is from RNAcentral. Lineage: Eukaryota; Viridiplantae; Streptophyta; Magnoliopsida; Fabales; Fabaceae.
GUGUAGAAGACAAUGGCAGCCCCAACUUAUAUCUUCCAGAUCGACGAAACCAACUUAGGGUUUCCUUAAUCGCAAUUUCAAACCUCCAAAGAACAACGAUCAAAAAUUGCUCAGCAUAACAACAAGCAGAGCAAAACGAAAAAAAAAAUUAAAGAAUCAUAGCUUCCACUACUCACCCGGGUUCGAGUAGAAGGACAACUACGGUUCGACUCGGGGAAAACUAUGACUCCAAUCACGGAGAAUGGUGGUUCGGCAGAAGGAAAGAAACGGUUCCCGUCAAACGACUAUUAGCUCACGGAAGGAGAACGACUGUGAGCUCAGGCAAGGACAACGCAGGUGCGAGGUUACGCUUCCCGUCAAACGACUAUGAAGAAGUGCGAGGGAAAGCGGACUAGUUUAGGCCUGGAGAGAGUGUUGUGAGAGAAGAAGAGAGUGCAAGCACAAUGUUAGGGCUCGAGAGUGAGAAGAGAAAGGGGGAAAGGGUUAGGACUCAACAGUGAGGAUAUUCGAAAAUGAGGGUCAGAUCUCUGAAGUAAAC